Molecule: long non-coding RNA, 609 nt
Organism: Apodemus sylvaticus (European woodmouse)
Lineage: Eukaryota; Metazoa; Chordata; Mammalia; Rodentia; Muridae
Exons: 3
Source: RefSeq, a predicted model, not a curated record
CCAAAAUUAAGUGAAACUAAUACUGUAGCAAAGAGCUUUUAGCAGAGCAACUUCAGGGGUUGGAGUGUGGGACCAGUUUUACUGCCCUUCAGGAAUCAACUUGGAAAUAAAAGAAGACAACAAAAAGAACAUAUUAUUACCAACCCUUUCCUACCCUGAAUACCACACAUCAGACAGUGAUCUUCGAGGUUCUUUUAACUAAGGCUGAAUAGGAGAAGCCCUGCUCAUGUUUCAUGAAGAUUGCUUGAGUAAAAGGCAAUGUGAUUUGGGACAUAUCCUGUGCAAUCCCAGCCAGUUCAUGCCUCACAUCUCUCCUGCUCUGGAAUCUUCUGCUGUAUCCAGAUGUGUUGGUAUUUGACACACAGCUGUUGAGUGCACUGUGCAUGACUCUCAGAUGCAUUGCUGGGGCAGGGAUACAGCUCCAUGGUGUUAUUGAAAAGCAAGUGUGUAAGAACAGAAAAAGAAAGGCACCUUGGGCUGGGAACAGAGGAAAGGAGUGUCUACAGAAGGAUGUGGGGUACUGGGCUGGGGUCUGGAUCUACACCUUGAUUGUGAUGGAGACUCUAUGAUUAUGUAUGUGCUCAAAUUUCAUGGAAAUGUGCAACAAAU